This 489-nucleotide ribosomal RNA is filed under the name uncultured bacterium. RNAcentral's name for it is "partial 16S ribosomal RNA". It matches the Rfam family "Bacterial small subunit ribosomal RNA", at positions 30 to 506 of the family's 1533-position model. The record is from RNAcentral.
AUUGAACGCUGGCGGCAGGCCUAACACAUGCAAGUCGAACGGUAACAGGAAGCAGCUUGCUGCUUUGCUGACGAGUGGCGGACGGGUGAGUAAUGUCUGGGAAACUGCCCGAUGGAGGGGGAUAACUACUGGAAACGGUAGCUAAUACCGCAUAACGUCGCAAGACCAAAGAGGGGGACCUUAGGGCCUCUUGCCAUCGGAUGUGCCCAGAUGGGAUUAGCUAGUAGGUGGGGUAACGGCUCACCUAGGCGACGAUCCCUAGCUGGUCUGAGAGGAUGACCAGCCACACUGGAACUGAGACACGGUCCAGACUCCUACGGGAAGCAGCAGUGGGGAAUAUUGCACAAUGGGCGCAAGCCUGAUGCAGCCAUGCCGCGUGUAUGAAGAAGGCCUUCGGGUUGUAAAGUACUUUCAGCGGGGAGGAAGGGAGUAAAGUUAAUACCUUUGCUCAUUGACGUUACCCGCAGAAGAAGCACCGGCUAACUCCGU